This 224-nucleotide long non-coding RNA is filed under the name Capsicum annuum. RNAcentral's name for it is "long non-coding RNA (CANN_LNC004446)". Lineage: Eukaryota; Viridiplantae; Streptophyta; Magnoliopsida; Solanales; Solanaceae. The record is from RNAcentral.
GAAGUGAUUAUGAGGUGAAAAAUGUUCAUAGAAAUGGCCUAAAGCAAAGUUGAGCUAAGAACCUUUCAUUCAUCCGAAAUUGGAUAGUCGAUUCUACAAGGGUUUAUUUUGAACAUAGAUAAAUCUUGAUACACAUAGAAUUUUUCAUGUCAAGACCCACCAAAUUGUACAUAAUUCAAUUAGCUUUCCAACAAUAUCAAUUUCGCCAAAAUCCAAUAAUCGAG